AAUAAACUUCAGAAAAAAAAAAUGAGUGAAAGCAAAUAUGACAAGACACGAGACAGAAAAACCAGAGAACAGAAGACUCGUCAUGAGGAAGAGGGGAAAAGAGACGUGUGGGUGCAAGAAAGAGGGGUGGGAUUGCCCAGGGGCGAUAAAUAGAUUUGAAAAGAAUCAGAUAGUAUAGGAAAGGGGCUGAGACUGAGAGAAAACAGCAGACUCUUGUGUUCUCCUUUCUUGCAGUCUGUGCCCCAGGUUUCUGUUUGUGAAACAAGGAAAGUUGCUGUCUGAGGGUUGGCAGGGAGCGGGCACCUUUCUCCUCGCCCACCUGCCAGAAGCCCUUCCCACGCGGGCGCAGCACAGCUUGCAGCAUGGUAGCAGCAGGUUCAACAGCCACGUUGUAUUCCACUAGAAAUUCAGCCAUAACUGCAGUUUUCUCUGUACUAUCUAACUGCAGAUUGUGUCUUGAAUUUUGUUUUCAGCCUUCCGCUGUAAAUACAGAGCUACUCCACUAGUUUGUAUUCACACUGUGUAAUUGAGCAAAACUUGGCUCAAUGCCUUUAUUGAAGAAUGAACAGUUUCCAAACAAAAAAUUCCUGUACUCUAACUAUGGUUUUCUCUCUCUCCAGUUGGGUUUAGAAAAGGCUGAAAUUGGUACUAUGUUGUGUUAUAGCAUCUUCCAAGGAUUUCAAAAUGCUUUACAAAUAAGUAAACCAACUUUGUAAUACAAAGAUUAUUUACAAAUAGGUGAAUGGGGUUGGAAACCGGUCAAAUAAUUUGCUCAAGGUCUAUAUGUCUUAGAUCUGACUUCUAGCCCCAUAUUGUUACCACAGCAGCUUUAAAUAAUUCCCCCCACAAGGGGCUUGGCAACACCUUUAGACGUAAAACAAUGAUAAUACAAUGAGGAUAGACUGAAAUAUCCCCUUAAAACAAAUUACAAAAUCUUUCAUCAAGAGAGGAAAGGACUUUAAAAUUUACACACAGAGAGGAAUAUGCAUAAGAACCAAUGGGUCCAACCAAUGGUCCAUCAAGCCCAAUAUCUUGUCUCUUGCCAGUGGUGAGUACAAGAGCUUCAGGGAGGAGUUUACAGAACAGUGCAAUUUUAGGGAAACCUACUGCUGUCUUCCCCUCCCAGCUUCUAUCAGUUGGAGGUUUAUUACUUCCCUCCGAUGAAUGAGACUGACAACAUUUGCAGGAAAGAUCUCUAAGCCCCUUAUCCUGAUACGUAACUGUCAUGCCAAAUUUUUGUUUUCUCUCUGAAAAGACAUAGAGAGGAGCCCUUGCUGGUGGGAUUUUAUGAACUCUGCAGGAGGCAGUAUGCAGGCUAGAAAAAGGUGGACAGACCUAGACUGCUGGUAUUAUUCACGCUUCAAUUGUGUGGACAAUUUUUACUGUCUCAAGUGGGGGAGCAGGCUGUCCCCCACAGAAACACCUUUUCAACCAUUGCCUUUUCUUUGUUGCUGUACUCUAGCAUGACAUGAUAUGGGGUCCAGUAACUUAAUCUACUAUUCUUAAUCUUUUUUUUUUUUAAGACUGGUAAGCCCAUGUGUACAUAGUUAUACUAUGGUAAACUUGGUUCAAGUUUAAUUUAGUUUAUGUAUCUGGUAGUUACAGCAUUGGAAGAAUUCACAGGGCUACAUGACUGAAAGGCAGAAAGUACCCUGGCCCCUGGAGCUACCUGCCUUUUUCCAGCCACAUGCUUCCGUUGCCUCUCUGAGUGCACAGAAUCACACUUGGUACUGCUGGCCGUGACAUCAUCAGGUAAAGGAAAUACACUAAGGAAACAAUAAAUGUUAUCCAGGCCUUCAUGAGCCUAGACUUACAGGGGAGACACCACAGAUUUUCAGGUGACCACGUAUUAGGUAAUAUCCCACCUUUGAAAUGAAGAUGACGAACACUCUUCCCCUCUCUGUUGCAAUAACAACCUCUACUUUUUAAAGUGGGUAGAAUAAUGUAAUUGGAGACAAUAAUUGUGUGUUUGCUCAACAGCCAGAUAGGAAAUCUUCCUUUCCAGCUGGUGAGAUGAGCUCCACGGACUGUGUAAUCAGCAUGGUUGUUGAAGGGUUCUUCUGACUGGCUGCAGUGAUAUUUUAGUCAGUCCAAAGUAGGAAAGCAGAAGGCAAAUAGUGAAGCAGCCCAGUUUACGGGUUGCUGUAGGACGGUUGUCCUCAGAAAGGUAACUAAACAACCAGCUGAAGCUUUUUUUUUUUUAAAGUGAUUAACUAUGGUUCCAUGGAAGACUAAUCAAUGAAAGUUUACAUUAAAAACAAAAAAUACCCCCAUAGAAUUAAGAUGCAUGCCUACCAGCCAAUCACUGUGCUUGCACAGCAUAGCCCAUUUCCCCUCCCUGAGUAGAUCUUUUUUGUUUUGACUGAACUCUUCAGGGCAGAGACUCUUGAGUUUGUA
Molecule: long non-coding RNA, 2397 nt
Organism: Dermochelys coriacea (leatherback sea turtle)
Lineage: Eukaryota; Metazoa; Chordata; Testudines; Dermochelyidae
Exons: 3
Source: RefSeq, a predicted model, not a curated record